RNAcentral lists this non-coding RNA (23 nucleotides) under Arabidopsis thaliana (thale cress). Lineage: Eukaryota; Viridiplantae; Streptophyta; Magnoliopsida; Brassicales; Brassicaceae. The record is from RNAcentral.
CAAAUAAACUUGGUCCACAACGG